UACGGAGGGUGCGAGCGUUGUCCGGAAUCACUGGGCGUAAAGGGCGCGUAGGUGGCGCGACAAGUCAACGGUGAAAGCCCGGGGCUCAACCCCGGGUCGGCCGUCGAUACUGUUGGGCUUGAGCACUGUAGAGGCAGGUGGAAUUCCGGGUGUAGCGGUGGAAUGCGUAGAGAUCUGGAAGAACAUUGGUGGCGAAGGCGGCCUGCUGGGCAGUAGCUGACACUGAGGCGCGACAGCGUGGGGAGCAAAC
This 250-nucleotide ribosomal RNA is filed under the name uncultured bacterium. RNAcentral describes it as "partial 16S ribosomal RNA". It matches the Rfam family "Bacterial small subunit ribosomal RNA", at positions 524 to 773 of the family's 1533-position model. The record is from RNAcentral.